AACGAUCGCUGGCGGCAUGCCUAACACAUGCAAGUCGAACGAGAUCUUCGGGUCUAGUGGCGCACGGGUGCGUAACGCGUGGGAAUCUGCCCUUUGGUUCGGAAUAACAGUUGGAAACGACUGCUAAUACCGGAUGAUGACGAAAGUCCAAAGAUUUAUCGCCAGAGGAUGAGCCCGCGUAGGAUUAGCUAGUUGGUGUGGUAAAGGCGCUCCAAGGCGACGAUCCUUAGCUGGUCUGAGAGGAUGAUCAGCCAUACUGGGACUGAGACACGGCCCAGACUCCUACGGGAGGCAGCAGUGGGGAAUAUUGGACAAUGGGCGAAAGCCUGAUCCAGCAAUGCCGCGUGAGUGAUGAAGGCCUUAGGGUUGUAAAGCCCUUUUACCCGGGAUGAUAAUGACAGUACCGGGAGAAUAAGCUCCGGCUAACUCCGUGCCAGCCGCCGCUGUAA
RNAcentral lists this ribosomal RNA (449 nucleotides) under uncultured bacterium. RNAcentral describes it as "partial 16S ribosomal RNA". It matches the Rfam family "Bacterial small subunit ribosomal RNA", at positions 29 to 523 of the family's 1533-position model. The record is from RNAcentral.